This 466-nucleotide ribosomal RNA is filed under the name Vreelandella stevensii. Its description in RNAcentral is "partial 16S ribosomal RNA". It matches the Rfam family "Bacterial small subunit ribosomal RNA", at positions 338 to 795 of the family's 1533-position model. Lineage: Bacteria; Pseudomonadati; Pseudomonadota; Gammaproteobacteria; Oceanospirillales; Halomonadaceae. The record is from RNAcentral.
CCUACGGGUGGCAGCAGUGGGGAAUAUUGGACAAUGGGCGAAAGCCUGAUCCAGCCAUGCCGCGUGUGUGAAGAAGGCCUUCGGGUUGUAAAGCACUUUCAGUGGGGAAGAAAGCCUUGGGGCUAAUACCCUCGAGGAAGGACAUCACCCACAGAAGAAGCACCGGCUAACUCCGUGCCAGCAGCCGCGGUAAUACAGGAGGGUGCGAGCGUUAAUCGGAAUUACUGGGCGUAAAGCGCGCGUAGGCGGUCUGAUAAGCCGGUUGUGAAAGCCCCGGGCUCAACCUGGGAACGGCAUCCGGAACUGUCAGGCUAGAGUGCAGGAGAGGAAGGUAGAAUUCCCGGUGUAGCGGUGAAAUGCGUAGAGAUCGGGAGGAAUACCAGUGGCGAAGGCGGCCUUCUGGACUGACACUGACGCUGAGGUGCGAAAGCGUGGGUAGCAAACAGGAUUAGAUCCCCCAGUAGUC